This 492-nucleotide ribosomal RNA is filed under the name uncultured bacterium. RNAcentral describes it as "partial 16S ribosomal RNA". It matches the Rfam family "Bacterial small subunit ribosomal RNA", at positions 29 to 507 of the family's 1533-position model. The record is from RNAcentral.
AGUGAACGCUGGCGGUAGGCCUAACACAUGCAAGUCGAACGGCAGCACAGUAAGAGCUUGCUCUUACGGGUGGCGAGUGGCGGACGGGUGAGGAAUACAUCGGAAUCUACUUUUUCGUGGGGGAUAACGUAGGGAAACUUACGCUAAUACCGCAUACGACCUACGGGUGAAAGCAGGGGAUCUUCGGACCUUGCGCGAUUGAAUGAGCCGAUGUCGGAUUAGCUAGUUGGCGGGGUAAAGGCCCACCAAGGCGACGAUCCGUAGCUGGUCUGAGAGGAUGAUCAGCCACACUGGAACUGAGACACGGUCCAGACUCCUACGGGAGGCAGCAGUGGGGAAUAUUGCACAAUGGGCGCAAGCCUGAUCCAGCCAUACCGCGUGGGUGAAGAAGGCCUUCGGGUUGUAAAGCCCUUUUGUUGGGAAAGAAAAGCAGCAGGUUAAUACCCCACUGUUCUGACGGUACCCAAAGAAUAAGCACCGGCUAACUUCGUG